Molecule: ribosomal RNA, 373 nt
Filed under: uncultured eukaryote
Lineage: Eukaryota
Description: partial 18S ribosomal RNA
Rfam family: Eukaryotic small subunit ribosomal RNA
Source: RNAcentral
CAAUGGCAUAUAUUAAAGUUGUUGCAGUUGAAAAGCUCGUAGUUGAAUGUUUGUAAAUGAUGGCUGGUCCGCCCUUUGGGCGAGUAUCUGGUACACUGUUUGCACAUGCCUUGAAUCAUGCCUGCACUUGACUGUGUGGGGUUUUUCAAUGCACAUUUAUUUUGAAGAAAUUAAAGCGCUUAUGGCAGGCUCUUGCUGUGCAUGCAUCAGCAUGGAAUAAUGAUGUCAUGAUUUGUUUUGUUGGUUUUUGAUUACAUGAAUAUAUAAAUAGGGAUAGUUGGGGGGCAUUUGAAUUUUAUUGUCAGAGGUGAAAUUCUUGGAUUCAUAAACGUCAAACAAAGGCGAAAGCAUUUGCCUUGGAUGUUUUCACUGA